Molecule: ribosomal RNA, 431 nt
Filed under: uncultured bacterium
Lineage: Bacteria
Description: partial 16S ribosomal RNA
Rfam family: Bacterial small subunit ribosomal RNA
Source: RNAcentral
AACGAACGCUGGCGGCAGGCUUAACACAUGCAAGUCGAGCGCCCCGCAAGGGGAGCGGCAGACGGGUGAGUAACGCGUGGGAACGUACCUUUUGGUUCGGAACAACUCCGGGAAACUGGAGCUAAUACCGGAUAAGCCCUAACGGGGAAAGAUUUAUCGCCGAAAGAUCGGCCCGCGUCUGAUUAGCUAGUUGGUGAGGUAACGGCUCACCAAGGCGACGAUCAGUAGCUGGUCUGAGAGGAUGAUCAGCCACACUAGGACUGAGACACGGCCCAGACUCCUACGGGAGGCAGCAGUGGGGAAUAUUGGACAAUGGGCGCAAGCCUGAUCCAGCCAUGCCGCGUGAGUGAUGAAGGCCUUAGGGUUGUAAAGCUCUUUUGUCCGGGAAGAUAAUGACUGUACCGGAAGAAUAAGCCCCGGCUAACUUCGUG